RNAcentral lists this ribosomal RNA (192 nucleotides) under uncultured bacterium. RNAcentral describes it as "partial 16S ribosomal RNA". It matches the Rfam family "Bacterial small subunit ribosomal RNA", at positions 1307 to 1500 of the family's 1533-position model. The record is from RNAcentral.
GCAACUCGCCUACAUGAAGCUGGAAUCGCUAGUAAUCGCAGAUCAGAAUGUUGCGGUGAAUACGUUCCCGGGUCUUGUACACACCGCCCGUCACACCAUGGGAGUCGGAAAUGCCCGAAGUCUGUGACCCAACGAAAGAGGGAGCAGCCGAAGGCAGGUCUGAUAACUGGGGUGAAGUCGUAACAAGGUAAC